CCUACGGGUGGCAGCAGUGAGGAAUAUUGGUCAAUGGGAGAGAUCCUGAACCAGCCAAGCCGCGUGAGGGAAGACGGCCCUAUGGGUUGUAAACCCUUUCUGCCGGAGAACAAAACCCGGGACGUGUCCCGGACUGCGUGUAUCCGAAGAAAAAGCACAGGCUAACUCCGUGCCAGUAGCCGCGGUAAUACGGAGGAUGCGAGCGUUAUCCGGAUUUAUUGGGGUUAAAGGGUGCGUAGGCGGUCCGUUAAGUCCGCGGUAAAAUUGCGGGGCUAAACCCCGUCGAGCCGUUGAAACUGGCAGACUUGAGUAGGCGAGAAGUACGCGGAAUGCGCGGUGUAGCGGUGAAAUGCAUAGAUAUCGCGCAGAACUCCGAUUGCGAAGGCAGCGUACCGGCGCCAGACUGACGCUGAGGCACGAAAGCGUGGGGAGCGAACAGGAUUAGAUACCCUAGUAGUC
This 459-nucleotide ribosomal RNA is filed under the name uncultured bacterium. RNAcentral's name for it is "partial 16S ribosomal RNA". It matches the Rfam family "Bacterial small subunit ribosomal RNA", at positions 338 to 795 of the family's 1533-position model. The record is from RNAcentral.